AAGACCUGCACACUGAGACCUAAACUCGCUAGCUUCCCUCGUUGCGGUAUGGGGGCGGCUUUUCUUGACGGGAUCAGUUCGAUGAGACGACGACAUGGAAUGAUUUUGACACUUGAUGUGCAUGCCCUUGCGACGCUAGACACCUCGAGUAAGCUUUCGAAAUAUCUACAAGAAGUCUCGAGCUCUUACAUGUUAAGACAAGGUCUUACAUCUGCGCGGAACUAUAGUCGUCAAGCCGAUGCCGAGAACAGAAACGAGGUCAGCGACAUCGAAGAACAAUUCUGCUUGCAUUCUGGCCGGUUUCAUUCCCAUAUUCCUGUUACUUUUCCAACUAAGUAACUGCGCUUCUCGCGAGUGCUAAAACAUAUCCGAAUCGCUGACGAUCAUCUUCCGUGGGGUAUCAGUCUUUGUUCAUAUUUUGUAUCAUUAAGACGAGUAACGUUAAUCCAUACAUUUCUGUUGUCCUCGAGGCGGACAUCUGGAAAUUCACUGCAGAACUCGAAUACACGUAAGUGAACAAGGUACCGGAACCAAAGUCGUAUCUCGUUGCUAUUUUCUUUAACGCCGUUCACAAACCGACAAUAUACUAAUAGUGUAGAAUCAUCUUGCAUGAAUAUCGCGUUCAUUACGUCGGACCCUGGAAGACUGAUAAGCAUUUUCGUUCGACUCAUCAGUUCUACUUGAUUUCCAACUGAGUAGUCUUCCAGGCAGGCAAUAAGGACGUCGAGUUCUUUAAAAGUUCGGGCUGCGGCCAGUUUCAGCUCAUUAAUGUUAUCGAUGUUUGUAAGAUGGUCCCCAGACCUUUUCUCCAUGAUGACAAGUUUGUCCGGAUUUUCUUUUUCUUUUGACGGAUACUUCAUGUAAAAUUUAUUUCUGAAGGCUUUCGCGUCAGCUGAAAACACUGGAGACGAAAGAUAUGCAAGGUCCUCAUCAACGUAAGAGAAUCCGCUCAUUCCGAAAUACACGUGAUCAUAGCAUAUAAUUCUGGACUCAACUUCAGUUUUCAAGUUGAGAUCGAAAACCUCCCCAUUCUUGACUAAUGCAUCAAAAUAAUCAUCGCAUCGUGGUCUACUCGGACGAUCGACGUACAAGUCACUCUCAUGACCGAGUCGAUCAGAAUUCGGCGCAUAUUUCUGCAUCAUUCGAAAUGCAGGCCAAACUUCGUCUCCUAGGAUGUGUCCGCAGUUAUUGUCAACGUACCGCUCUAUGAGAAAAGCUUUGCUUCUGCGUCUUGACGUGGUCAGAAUAGAUAUGUCCAGAGCCCUGACAUUCAAAGCUACACUGCCGUUUCUUCGUAGUCUCACACUGAGCAGCGCUCUUUCGACAAUAGGCACCGAUGCACUGCCAAUAACGAACAGAGUUCUGUUGUUUGCAACACACGCCUCGCUGAUAUCGCAAGAGUUCGAAUCGCACGUCAUUAUCGUCGAAUGAAGCAUGGGAAGUAUUUCCCUGCCAAAGGACUGUGUAAGGCGUGGUAUGGAUAACAGGGAGACAAAUAAAAAGCAAGUUGCAAGUUUUAGCAGUUGAAACCGUGAUC
This 1537-nucleotide long non-coding RNA is filed under the name Micromonas pusilla. Its description in RNAcentral is "long non-coding RNA (MPUS_LNC000205)". Lineage: Eukaryota; Viridiplantae; Chlorophyta; Mamiellophyceae; Mamiellales; Mamiellaceae. The record is from RNAcentral.